AACCUGGUUAGGUGGUCUGCCUUACGGUACGUACUGCUCGGCCGGGUUCUACCUCUUGGUGAGCCGGCAUGUCCUUCACUGGGUGUGUCGGGGAACCAGGACUUUUACUUUGAAAAAAUUAGAGUGUUUAAAGCAGGCAUUCGCUUGAAUACAUUAGCAUGGAAUAAUAAAAUAGGACGU
Molecule: ribosomal RNA, 180 nt
Filed under: uncultured Glomeromycotina
Lineage: Eukaryota; Fungi; Glomeromycota
Description: partial small subunit ribosomal RNA
Rfam family: Eukaryotic small subunit ribosomal RNA (bases 91-180)
Source: RNAcentral